AAAGUUGCACAAUUUUCCUAAAUUCAAAAAUAUGAAAUCCGUCUUCUUUUUUUCCAUUCUUUUUCUUGUUGUCUCCAUGAAUUUCGGAAAUCAAGUGAUGAUGGCAGAGGCAAGAGAUUGUUUUAUAUAUCGACCUGGUUUCUGUCGUAGAUUUUGGGAGGUUUUGGUUUGCAAACUAUAUUGCAAAGGGGCAUGCAAAAAUAUACAUGCGACCGGAAAAUGUUGGGACGACAAUUCAUGUAAUUGUAAUUGUUGUCCUUAAAUUGUUACAAUUAUUAUAUUGUAAGGUUCCACCACUUGAAUAGUAAUAUGGUGAAUUAAUAAAUUAAGUGGUUGCAUA
Lathyrus oleraceus (garden pea) is the source of this 340-nucleotide long non-coding RNA. RefSeq lists it as uncharacterized. The transcript is spliced from 2 exons. NCBI's taxonomy places the organism in Eukaryota, Viridiplantae, Streptophyta, Magnoliopsida, Fabales, Fabaceae. The record is from RefSeq and is a predicted model, not a curated record.